UUCUGAAACACUUUUGAGAAACACUUUUUUUUUUCUCUUUUUUUCUUGUUCUUUUUUCUUUUGGCCGGUCGCCGGCCUCGGCCAUGGCCGGCGACCGGCCAAAAGAAAAAAGAACAAGAAAAAAAGAGAAAAAAAAAAGUGUUUCUCAAAAGUGUUUCAGAAACAAGAAACACAAAAUUUGUGUUUCUUGUUUCU
This 195-nucleotide non-coding RNA is filed under the name Eucalyptus grandis. The record is from Rfam by way of RNAcentral. Lineage: Eukaryota; Viridiplantae; Streptophyta; Magnoliopsida; Myrtales; Myrtaceae.